UACGGAGGGGGCUAGCGUUGUUCGGAAUUACUGGGCGUAAAGCGCGCGUAGGCGGAUCUGCAAGUCGGGGGUGAAAUCCCGAGGCUCAACCUCGGAACUGCCUUCGAUACUGCGGGUCUCGAGUCCGGGAGAGGUGAGUGGAAUUCCUAGUGUAGAGGUGAAAUUCGUAGAUAUUCGCAAGAACACCAGUGGCGAAGGCGGCUCACUGGCCCGGUACUGACGCUGAGGUGCGAAAGCGUGGGGAGCAAACAGG
Molecule: ribosomal RNA, 253 nt
Filed under: uncultured bacterium
Lineage: Bacteria
Description: partial 16S ribosomal RNA
Rfam family: Bacterial small subunit ribosomal RNA
Source: RNAcentral